CCAACAUUGAGCUUCUUCUCGCCUUAAGACAUUUUGGCCUUCUUUUUGUGUCACAGUAGCUAAGAUAAUAAUGUUGAUGAUGAUGAAGGAGUCAAUUAUUAUUAUAUGAUAAAAAAGAGGCAACUUUUAAAUAUAAAGGUUAAAAGGAAGAUAAUAAUGAUAGAGAAAUAAAUUCCAAUGAUUUUUUCUUUUUUCUCAAAACACGAUUUAUUCAUUCAAUCUUCCCGCCAUCAUCAAUUUCAAUUAACAUGUGACCACUGCAAGGCUAUGACUUUCACUUUUGCCUUAUUUUUUCUGCUCUUGCUUUAAUAUUUUUAUAUAACCCUAAAGAUUUUUUUAUUUUUAAAUCAUUAAUAAUGAUAUUAUUAUAAUUGUUGUACUUUUUUUUACAUGAAUGUUAUUACUAUCAUCGUCUUGUUUAAUUCAUGGCAAUGUUAAUGGAUUCAGAUAAUCGUCUGACUGUUUCAUCAAUAAAAAUGCUGCCGAUAAUUGGUUUUCCCUUUCACUUGAGACGCAAUAAAAUGGCAAAAACCACAUUGUUUGGUUUGGAUAUAAAUGUUACAUAAUAUUUCAUCUUGGAAAACAUGUUAAACCAUAACUCAGAAUCUUGAUGAUGAUCAUCUCUGAGUAAACAAACUUCAUCAGCUUCUCACAGCUAGUAAAAUAAUGAUGAUGCAGGGGAUGAUCCAGCGAUGAAGUUGGAGAUGGAGAUGGAGAUGAGGGCAAAGAAGCAAAAUCAAUUAACAAGAUAUAAUCAAGUGAAUCCUCCUUCUUUUAAAUAUAUUUUUCAUCUUAAGGAAACCUCCCUUUACUUCAUUGCCAUGCCGUUGUGUUUUGUUUUUUCAUGUUCACUGGAUAUUUGAAAGGUUAUUAAAAGAAAUAUAUCAUUUCUUUUUUUCUUGAAAAAACUUAAUCACAAUCAAGUGAACAACUUUUCUUUUCUUUCAUCCAAGAACCGAUUUAUUAAGCAAAAGUGGUAAAUGAUGGCAAUGAAAGCAACAUCUUUGUUAACUUUUACCUUUUUAUUUUUUUAAUUGUUUCUAGAUGAAAGCUCGAUAAGUUGCUAUCAUAAUCAUCUUCAUGACAAUCAACGAUUGUAAAUGAUUUCUGUAUUCAUGUAAUACAUUCCUCACUUGUUGAUUGCAAUGUCAAUGCGUUUGUAUUUUUGUUUAUUCUUGUUGUUAUUAAUUGAAUUGAGGGACCAAACAACCAUUAACAUAAUUUGAAAACAAAAAAUGAUUGCUUAUGUACAUGGAUUCAGAAAUUACCUGCAAUGUAGCAAUAAGAAAAGAAGUGUAAUGUUAAUGAGAUUUAUUGUUUAAACAAUAAUUUUGUCUUUUCAUUUCAUCCACUUAUUCAGACUCUCCAGAAUUUCAAGCAACAUUUCAAUUUUCACAAUUCCGAAUCAAAACAAAUUAACCGUUCAUUUUCUUCCUCGAUAUUUCUAUCGUAGCCUUAUUCAGUCAAUUGAAACUUCAUGCAAAGUAUAGACAACCUUUCAAAAAUCUACUU
Tetranychus urticae (two-spotted spider mite) is the source of this 1512-nucleotide long non-coding RNA. RefSeq lists it as uncharacterized. The record is from RefSeq and is a predicted model, not a curated record. NCBI's taxonomy places the organism in Eukaryota, Metazoa, Arthropoda, Arachnida, Trombidiformes, Tetranychidae.